GACAUAGGUCGCAAACGUUAUCCGGAAUUAUUGGGCGUAAAGGAUGCGUAGAUGGUUCAGUAAGUUACUGGUGGGAAAUCGAGGCUCAACCUCGUGGAAGUCAGUAAUACUGUUGAACUUGAGUGCAGGAGAGGUUAACGGAACUUUAUGUGGAGCGGUAAAAAUGCGUAGAUAUAUAAAAAGAACAUCAAUAUGGCGAAGGCAGUUAACUAUUCUGUUACUGACAUUUGAGGCAUGAAAAGCGUGGGGAGCAAAACGG
This 259-nucleotide ribosomal RNA is filed under the name uncultured bacterium. RNAcentral describes it as "partial 16S ribosomal RNA". It matches the Rfam family "Bacterial small subunit ribosomal RNA", at positions 524 to 776 of the family's 1533-position model. The record is from RNAcentral.